GACGAACGCUGGCGGCGGGCCUAAUACAUGCAAGUUGAGCGCUGAAGGUUGGUACUUGUACCGACUGGAUGAGCAGCGAACGGGUGAGUAACGCGUGGGGAAUCUGCCUUUGAGCGGGGGACAACAUUUGGAAACGAAUGCUAAUACCGCAUAAAAACUUUAAACACAAGUUUUAAGUUUGAAAGAUGCAAUUGCAUCACUCAAAGAUGAUCCCGCGUUGUAUUAGCUAGUUGGUGAGGUAAAGGCUCACCAAGGCGAUGAUACAUAGCCGACCUGAGAGGGUGAUCGGCCACAUUGGGACUGAGACACGGCCCAAACUCCUACGGGAGGCAGCAGUAGGGAAUCUUCGGCCAUGGACGAAAGUCUGACCGAGCAACGCCGCGGGAGUGAAGAAGGUUUUCGGAUCGUAAAACUCUGUUGGUAGAGAAGAACGUUGGUGAGAGUGGAAAGCUCAUCAAGUGACGGUAACUACCCAGAAAGGGACGGCUAACUACGUG
RNAcentral lists this ribosomal RNA (497 nucleotides) under uncultured bacterium. RNAcentral's name for it is "partial 16S ribosomal RNA". It matches the Rfam family "Bacterial small subunit ribosomal RNA", at positions 28 to 507 of the family's 1533-position model. The record is from RNAcentral.